This 175-nucleotide non-coding RNA is filed under the name human gut metagenome. The record is from RNAcentral.
CGCCGGUAUCGUUCGGACCCGGCGGAGAAUAGUGAAUCGGGUGCGAAUCCCGAACGGUACCGCCACUGUAUGCGCGGAGAUGCCCUCACGAAGGCGAAAGCCGGUCAUUGGAGCUUCGGCUCUGAGAAGGCUGCGGGGGAUGUUGACGAGGCGCAAGCCAGGAGACCUGCUCAAG